AAGUCGUAACAAGGUUUCCGUAGGUGAACCUGCGGAAGGAUCAUUAUUGAGAUGAGUGUCCAGCUUGCUGGCUCUCACCCCCCCCCUCUCCCUCUUGUGAACAUUUAUUGUUUUAGUUUACAUACAAAAUAAAAACUUUCAACAACGGAUCUCUUGGCUCCG
RNAcentral lists this unclassified non-coding RNA (162 nucleotides) under fungal sp. RNAcentral describes it as "partial contains small subunit ribosomal RNA, internal transcribed spacer 1, and 5.8S ribosomal RNA". The stretch from base 1 to 46 matches the Rfam family "Eukaryotic small subunit ribosomal RNA", at positions 1786 to 1831 of the family's 1831-position model. Lineage: Eukaryota; Fungi. The record is from RNAcentral.